AUGAAUUUGGUGAUAUGAUAUGAUACAUCAUCUUUAAUAUCGCAUUUUAUAAAAAUAAAAAAUGUUAAAAAAGUACAAAAAUUUAUUUCUUUUUUCUUCUUUGUCUUUCCCAUUAUACUUUCUUUCCCUUUCCUUUUUUUCUUUACUUUAUUUUCUUGUCUUUUUUUCCGCUUUCUUCUUCUUUCUUUUUCUUCUCCACAAAAACCCUAGCGACAUUCUUUCAAGCCAUGCCAUCGUAUGCCGUGCUCUGUUUACACGGUCGGCGUCGUUCGUCGGUGCCAGUGUCUUCUUUCUCUCUUACUCCCUCUCUCUCCUUUCGUUUCUUCUUUUUUUUUCUUCUUCCUCUCGAUAAUUUACACGGUUUAUAUCUUUCAGAAUUCAACACGAUUUGUUCAGAAUUGAACCUUUAGUCCCGAACUAUUCUCUUUUCGAUCUCAGAGCUCCACCGUGUCACAAACUUGAGCUUCACCCUCUAGAUCGUCAAGAAAGUGACCGGAUCUCCACGAAUCAAACUUUGAUUGAAAAAAGGUCUUCGAAAGAGGGUAUUUUCUUUUAAAAGAAUUGUUUGAUUGGUUAUUGGCUGAUGAUGUUUAUUGUCGUUUGUUAGCUUUAGAUGAGAUUUGUUAGGCAUGGGGAUGUUAGUGGUUUAUGAGUUGGCGAUGGUGAUCGAUGGAGCAAGAAAGAGAUAGGGUUGGCCGAGGUGGUCUCGAUUUAGGGUGGUGACAAUGGUGGCUUGGUGUAUGUUGGUUAGUGUGCUGGGGUAAUGAUUGAAGGGUAUUGAGAUCGAGGGAGAAGGCAUGAGUGUAGGGAACAUGUAGUUGAGAGAGAAGAAGAAUUCGAAAGAGGGGGAAAUCUAAUAAAGAAAAUGAACUACGAAAUGAAGAUUUUUAAAUUAUUUUUUAAAAAAAUUCUCAAUAUUUUCUUUUUUGCAAUUUUGUGAGAUUUAAACCCAAAAAAAAAAAAUAAUGGUCGAAGUUUAAAAGAUCUCAAAUGCU
RNAcentral lists this long non-coding RNA (995 nucleotides) under Gossypium raimondii (Peruvian cotton). RNAcentral describes it as "long non-coding RNA (GRAI_LNC000865)". Lineage: Eukaryota; Viridiplantae; Streptophyta; Magnoliopsida; Malvales; Malvaceae. The record is from RNAcentral.